Molecule: ribosomal RNA, 253 nt
Filed under: uncultured bacterium
Lineage: Bacteria
Description: partial 16S ribosomal RNA
Rfam family: Bacterial small subunit ribosomal RNA
Source: RNAcentral
CACGUAGGGCGCAAGCGUUGUCCGGAAUUAUUGGGCGUAAAGAGCUCGUAGGCGGUCUGUUGCGUCCGCUGUGAAAACUCGGGGCUUAACCCCGAGCCUGCAGUGGAUACGGGCAGACUAGAGGUAGGUAGGGGAGUCUGGAAUUCCUGGUGUAGCGGUGAAAUGCGCAGAUAUCAGGAGGAACACCGGUGGCGAAGGCGGGACUCUGGGCCGAUACUGACGCUGAGGAGCGAAAGCGUGGGGAGCGAACAGG